UCCAUAUACCCAGACACACGACAUCUCUCUGCUUUGCCUUAUCCGUAAUCACACACACUUCUCAAUCCAUCAAUUCAAGAGAAUUACCUUCUCCAAAAGAAUUCCUCCAGGAAGCGCAACCAAACUAACGAACAUCCCUUUUGCUCACCAUUUUUACACACCAGGCUCAUCACGCCAACCAUCCGGCCACAUACGAACACCCUUCCACUACCUUCAUCCCCAUAGAAUGUCCAUCAUCAACACCUAAUUUCAGCUUUUUUUUUAUGACUCGAAGCCCCUCUGUCACCACUACCUCAUGACCCAUCCUAACCACCUCAACCACCUGGAUUGACUCACCACACUCUCCGAAUCCAAUUCCAAAACACACAACAACAGAAUCCCAUUCUUACCUCCAACCCCAACUUCAUCCUUCAAGAACGAACACCACGAAAAACAGAGACAACCAAAUCAAUCUCCAUCCUCAUCACGCCAAUUUCCUCAUCACCGAUGCUACUUCCAUUGCCGCCGUAGCAGCAACCCUAUGUCAUGAUGUUGCCUAAACCCCAGGUACCUCUGCCCAUAAUCCUCCUCUCUAUUCGGUACAGCACCUGAAGGAAACACAGAAAUUCAAAACCAAGGCAAAACUGAGAAACAGAGGAAGAAGAGAGGGUUUGGUGCGGUUGACUCGACGUUGCCNGCGACGUUGUCGACUNAGUAGCGUACGGUGACACGGUGACGGCUGCGACGAUUACCUUGGCGGCGACNCGACUUCGAUAGAAGCAGUAGNGACUNCGACGCGAGGAGGAGCUCUAGUGGUGACCGGCAUCGUCGCCGGCGGACUUGGUAACAAACGGCACGAUGGAGAUGAAGGGAGCUCAACGGGGAGCGACGGUCAUUUGUUUGGUGGUAUCAGCGACGAGGAACGACCAGCGCCGUCCACGGCGAGAGGGUUUCUCUCGCNUGAAGAGAAAAAGGCGAAGGAGAGUCUAGUGCCAUGGCCGGCGAUGGCUCCGACGAUGGGUGUCAACGCCGUGGGCUAUAGACGGUGGUGGCCGGUCGGGGAAAGCUUGGUUCUGGCUGUGAGCGGCGAAGGUGAAAUCCCUAGUUUCUUUCGCUCANAGAAGAAGGUGCCCCUAAGUGUUUACACAAAUGAGAGCAAAUUGUAGAAACCCCUAAUGAGCUUCUGUUANGNUUAUGAGGCUUUGGGCCUGGUGUGGGCUGCCUCUUCUAUUCUCUGCAUCUCCAUUUCCUAUCCGCAACCCCUUUCAUGUGGGCUGAGGUCCAUUAUGUUUCUGCCAAUAAAAGAAAAGAAGGAUCGGGCCUGGGCUGUCUCUUUGCUUCCCGCCACCACGUGCAACUCCAUCUGCACCCCCCAUUCCAUUUCUGCAUACAUACAAAAAUGAAAAAAAAGCCAGGGCCAGGCCUACCAAAUGCACCCCAAUUUUCAUAUGUUANN
Molecule: long non-coding RNA, 1435 nt
Filed under: Vigna radiata
Lineage: Eukaryota; Viridiplantae; Streptophyta; Magnoliopsida; Fabales; Fabaceae
Description: long non-coding RNA (VRAD_LNC017149)
Source: RNAcentral